UUUUCCCUACUUCAUGUCUGUACACAAGCAGAGGCUUUCCCAACAAAAGCUUCAUUUCCCGUGCUGGUUGUAUUUCUCUGUGAGUCUUUGAUUCCUUCAUUUCGGAAGAAAAGAUGGUUGUGGUGGAGGCGUUUCUGUCUUCCUUGUUUGAGGUGGUGCUGGACAAGCUGGUGGCUACCCCUUUGUUAGAUUAUGCACGCCGGAUCAAAGUAGACACAGCAGUGCUCCAGGAGUGGAGGAACACUUUGUUGCAUCUCCAAGCAGUGCUGCAUGAUGCUGAGCAGAGGCAGAUUCGGGAGGAAGCGGUGAAGAGGUGGGUGGACGAUCUCAAAGCUUUAGCUUACGACAUCGAAGAUGUCCUGGACGAGUUUGACAUGGAGGCUAAGCGAUGCAGUUGGGUACAAGGGCCCCAAACCAGCACCAGCAAGGUAUGGAAGUUUAUCCCCUCUUUUCAUCCUAGCGGUGUGAUUUUCAAUAAGAAGAUUGGUCAAAAGAUCAAGAUAAUCACCCGAGAAUUAGAUGAGAUUGUAAAAAGAAAGUCUGGUCUCCAUCUGACACAGAGUGUUGGAGGGGUGUCAUCAGUGACUGAACAAAGGUUGACUACUUCUUUGAUAGAUAAGGCUGAGUUUUAUGGUAGGGAUGGUGAUAAGGAGAAGAUCAUGGAAUUGUUGCUAUCUGAUGAAAUAGCUAGUGCUGAUAAGGUUCAGGUGAUUCCGAUUGUUGGUAUGGGUGGGGUUGGAAAAACAACCCUCGCUCAAAUGAUCUAUAACGACAAGAGGGUUGGGGACAAUUUCGAUAUCAGAGUUUGGGUGUGUGUAUCUGAUCUGUUUGAUUUGGUAGGGAUAACGAAAGCAAUUUUAGAGUCGGUCUCUAGGCAUUCAUCUGAUACUUCUAAUACACUGCAAUCACUACAAAAUAGUUUGCAGGAAAAGUUGAAGGGACAAAGGUUUUUCCUUGUGCUGGAUGAUAUAUGGAAUGAGGAACCCAGUCGCUGGAGUACCUUACAAGCUCCUUUUAGAAAUGGAGCACAAGGCAGUGUGGUAAUGGUAACAACUCGUCUUGAAGAUGUUGCAUCUAUUAUGCGCACCACCUCUUCCCAUCAUCUUAGUAAACUCUCUGAUGAAGAUUGUUGGUCACUAUUUGCAGGCAUUGCCUUCGAAAACGCAACUCCAGAUGCCCGCCAAAACUUGGAACCUAUUGGUAGGAAAAUAAUAAAGAAAUGUGACGGUUUGCCUUUGGCUGCAAAUACAUUGGCAGGUCUGUUGCGCUGUAAACAAGAUGAGAAGACUUGGAAGGAUAUGCUGAACAGCGAAAUAUGGGAUUUACGAACAGAACAAAGUAGAAUUCUUCCGGCUCUACACUUGAGUUACCAUUACCUCCCUACAAAAGUGAAGCAGUGCUUUGCAUAUUGUUCCAUCUUUCCAAAGGAUUAUGAAUUUCAAAAGGAGGAGUUAAUUUUGUUGUGGAUGGCGCAAGGUUUAGUGGGUAGCUUGAAAGGAGGGGAGACGAUGGAAGAUGUUGGUGAAAUAUGUUUUCAGAACCUAUUAUCAAGGUCUUUCUUUCAACAAUCCGGUCAUAAUAAGUCAAUGUUUGUGAUGCAUGAUUUGAUUCACGAUUUGGCUCAAUUUGUAUCCGGAGAAUUUUGUUUCAGAUUGGAAAUGGGACAGCAAAAAAAUGUUUCAAAGAAUGCUCGACAUUUGUCAUACGAUCGUGAAUAUUUUGAAAUCUCCAAGAAAUUUGAUCCCCUUCAUGACAUCGAUAAAUUACGGACGUUCCUACCAUUAAGUAAGUCUGGCUAUAAAUGCUACUUAAGUGAUAAAGUCCUACACGAUGUAUUGCCGAAAUUCAGAUGUAUGCGGGUUUUAUCCUUAUCUUACUAUAAUAUCACUUAUUUGCCCGAUUCAUUGGGAAAUUUGAAACAUUUGCGGUAUUUGAACCUUUCUAACACUAAAAUUCGGAAGUUACCUAAAUCAAUAGGUAUGCUUUUGAAUUUGCAAUCAUUGAUUUUGUCAGAAUGUCGUUGGCUUACCGAGUUACCGGCCGAGAUUGGAAAGCUCAUCAACUUGCGUCAUUUGGAUAUUUCUAAAGCAAAAAUAGAAGGGAUGCCAAUGGGAAUCAAUGGAUUAAAAGAUCUUCGAAUGUUGACUACUUUUGUUGUUGGCAAGCAUGGUGGUGCAAGACUCGGGGAGUUACGAGAUCUUGCACACCUACAAGGAGCACUCUCCAUUUUAAAGUUGCAGAAUGUGGAGAAUGCUACAGAAGUUAAUUUGAUGAAAAAGGAAGACCUUCACGACUUAGUGUUUGCAUGGGAUCGAAAUGCGAUUGUUGGUGACUUGGAGAUUCAAACCAAAGUUCUCGAAAAGCUUCAGCCUCAUAACAAGGUGAAAAGGCUCAGCAUUGAAUGCUUCUAUGGCAUAAAAUUUCCAAAAUGGUUAGAAGAUCCUUCGUUCAUGAAUUUAGUUUUCUUACAACUUAGAGAUUGUAAAAAUUGCUUGUCUUUGCCGCCACUUGGGCAGUUACAGUCUCUCAAGGAUCUCUGUAUUGUGAAGAUGGCUGGUGUGCGAAAGGUAGGUGUAGAGUUGUAUGGGAAUAGCUAUUGUAGUUCAACUUCAAUUAAGCCAUUUGGAUCCCUAGAGAUUCUGAGGUUCGAAGAGAUGUUAGAGUGGGAGGAAUGGGUUUGUCGUGAAAUUGAAUUCCCUUGUUUGAAGGAGCUUUAUAUCAAGAAAUGUCCAAAGCUGAAAAAGGAUUUACCCAAACACCUUCCUAAAUUAACAAAACUUGAGAUUAGUGAAUGCGAGCAGCUGGUGUGUUGUCUUCCAAUGGCUCCCUCCAUUCGUGAAUUGAUGUUGAAUGAAUGUGAUGAUGUGAUGGUUAGGAGUGCGGGCAGUCUCACCUCAUUGGCUUCUUUGUAUAUAAUCAAUGUUUGCAAAAUACCAGAUGAAUUAGGACAACUGAAUUCUCUUGUAGAGUUGUGUGUGUAUUGUUGUCCCGAGCUAAAGGAAAUUCCACCCAUUCUUCACAGCCUUACCUCUCUUAAAAACUUGAACAUCAAGACUUGUGAGAGUCUCGCAUCUUUUCCGGAGAUGGUGCUGCCACCCAUGCUUGAAAGGCUUGAAAUCAGAGGCUGUCCCACUCUGGAGUCCCUACCAGAGGGAAUGAUGCAAAAUAAUACUACUCUCCAACUCUUGGUAAUCGGGGGUUGUGGUUCUCUGAGGUCCUUGCCCAGGGACAUUGAUUCAUUGAAGGGACUUUCAAUCUACGGGUGUAAGAAAUUGGAGUUAGCACUCCACGAGGAUAUGACGCACAACCACUACGCUUCCCUUACCAAUUUCUUGAUAAGUAAUUGUGAUUCUCUCACGUCCUUUCCAUUAGCUUCCUUCACAAAGCUUGAGACGCUUCAUUUACAUUGUACAAAUCUGGAGUCCCUUUACAUUCCAGAUGGACUUCACCACGUGGAUCUCACAUCUCUCCAGUCAUUGGAAAUAUCUAAUUGCCCUAAUCUGGUAUCUUUUCCGCAAGGAGGAUUGCCCACUCCCAAUUUAAGAAGGCUUUGGAUAUGGAAAUGCGAAAAGCUUAAGUCACUGCCCCAAGGGAUGCACACCCUCCUUACAUCCCUUCAAGCUUUGUAUAUAAAUGAUUGUCCAGAAAUUGAUUCAUUUCCAGAAGGGGGAUUGCCCACUAAUCUAUCUAAGCUUAAGAUCAGGAAUUGCAGCAAACUCGUGGCCAAUCAGAUGGAGUGGGGCUUGCAAACGCUUCCCUUUCUUAGAAUGUUGGAGAUUGCAGGAUAUGAGAAAGAAAGAUUUCCCGAGGAGCGAUUUCUGCCCUCCGCUCUCACCUCCCUUGAAAUUAGGGGUUUUUCAAAUCUGAAAUCCCUGGACAAUAAGGGGUUUCAGCACCUCACCUCUCUUGAAACUCUGCAGAUUCAGAAUUGUGGAAACCUCAAGUCCUUCCCAAAACAAGGGCUGCCCUCCUCCCUUUCACGUCUUUAUAUUAAAGAGUGUCCUCGGCUGAAGAAACGGUGCCAAAGGGAUAAAGGGAAAGAAUGGCCCAACAUUUCUCACAUCCCCUGCAUAGCGUUCGACUUAGACGAUACGAAAAAUGAGGAGGUGAUCUUAUCAUGAGGCCCUUCCGUCGAAGCUCUUGCUCUCCUCUGCAUUUAUUGGCCCAGCUUCCACAUUGGGCAUCAUUUAAGAAUUUGAAAGAAGUACUUGUACUUGCAUAACAAUGAGAGGUUCAUUUGAAGGAGGCACCAUUGAAGCAUGCUAGGGUGCAUUCUGUCGGGGAAGUAAAAGAUGGUUAAUUAGCCUUUCAGAAGUCAAAAUUAAAUAAGAUGUUCUAAAUUUUUGGAACUCCAGUGCAAUGAAAAGAUAGAAUGAAGGGCUCUGACAAAUGUACUAACCGCUGCAAAGUGCCCUCAUUUUGAUAGGAUGGAGAUUUUGCCAAUAGAGAUAGCUUGUUGGAAGGUGAUGUGGAAUCAUAAAGACGUGGAAUCAUAUGGAAGAGAUAAGCAAAUGAUACACUUCCAAGUUCUCCUCGCUUGCAUGGGACUCAGGUACACCAUUCUGCAUGGAAAUAUGUGGGAAGAGUGAUUCUCUUCUUUGUUAUUAAUUAGUUCAUCGUUAAUUAGCUGGAAUCCAAGUGGAUGAUAUGAACAUCCAUACUGGCACCAUUAUGAUAUUUCUUGGAAAUUAUCUGCAGGUGGAACUUUGAUUGAUAUUUUGCUAAUGAUCUAUAUAUCCCCUGCCUUCAGUCUUGGGAUAGCAGUAUUCAGAUAGAUUUCUGCCACCUUUAAUUAAGAUCUUCUAUUCCCAUAAAACCAUGUGUAAGCAAUCCUGCUUUCUAUCACUGUAGAAGAGCCUAUCUUCAAAUGAAUGCUUUUUGUUGACUUCAUUACAUGGGACCCUGAUCCAACACUGGACUCCAAAAGGAGAACAAACAUGCAAACUGAAAUGUAUGUUGAUUCUAAUAACUUAAUUCUCAAUCCCUAACUUGAGGAAAUGAGAGGCAAUAAUAAAUGGAAAUUUUAUCGGGUUUCUCUAGCAGCACAUCCUGACAUGGUCUGAAAAUCUUGACAGGAAAAAUUAAGAGAAAUGCUUUUAAUUUUGGAAAAGCGGAGUAAUUCUGUUUGAAGUUGAUAGAAAUGUUCGAGGAUUUCGUCUGUCUUUAAUGUAGGUAAGAUAUUGAGUAGGUCCUUAACAAAAGCAGUUUGUUGGAGGCUUCUGCCCAACUCAUUGGAUUUCUUAAAUACUUUCCCUCCUUCAUUUCCCAUUUUACUGGGGUUUUAUAUCUUGCUCCAUGCUGUCUAGGAACUCAAAAUUCCUCAGAUGUCCUUUCAGCUGUUCAUAAGGUUGUAAAUGUGCCUCAUAUAUGGCAGCUUGUUCAUGGAAUACUUGGAUGUGCAAUUCAAUGAUUGGGGUUCUCAUAGUUGCUACAAAUUUGGCGCAGGAUAUCACACACACUCCAAUUAACUGGAUGACUUGACUAUCAGAACAAGCUAUUCAAUUUUAUUUUUUGUUUUUAAGCUCCCAUGAAAAGAUGGCAAGCAUUAGCCUUGGCCCAUGAAAGAAAGCCAUUCUCAUCAUAACUGAUUUAUAUGUCAACUAAAAUGGCAGCCACUUCACAUCUCUUCAACAUCUGCAGUUGUUGGAAACCUCCAUUGAUGGCAAGUUUCUUUCACUGUUUCCCAUGUACACAUAUGUUGUUCCCACAAACCAUGCAUCUUCUAUUCUCUCUUGGGAGAUGUUUUAUGAUGAGAUAUUGCUAUUUGUA
Molecule: RNA transcript, 5769 nt
Organism: Vitis riparia (riverbank grape)
Lineage: Eukaryota; Viridiplantae; Streptophyta; Magnoliopsida; Vitales; Vitaceae
Gene name: putative disease resistance RPP13-like protein 1
Exons: 6
Source: RefSeq, a predicted model, not a curated record